AGACGGGGGGUGCUAGCGUUGUUCGGAAUUACUGGGCGUAAAGGGCGCGUAGGCGGCUCUGCGAGUCGGGCGUGAAAUCCCGGGGCUCAACCCCGGAACGGCGCUCGAUACUGCGGGGCUGGAGACCGGAAGAGGAGGGUGGAAUUCCCAGUGUAGAGGUGAAAUUCGUAGAUAUUGGGAGGAACACCGGUGGCGAAAGCGGCUCUCUGGUCCGGUUCUGACGCUGAGGCGCGAAAGCGUGGGGAGCAAACAGGAUUAGAAACCCUAGUAGUCCC
Molecule: ribosomal RNA, 275 nt
Filed under: uncultured bacterium
Lineage: Bacteria
Description: partial 16S ribosomal RNA
Rfam family: Bacterial small subunit ribosomal RNA
Source: RNAcentral